Pelobates cultripes (western spadefoot toad) is the source of this 6779-nucleotide non-coding RNA. Lineage: Eukaryota; Metazoa; Chordata; Amphibia; Anura; Pelobatidae. The record is from the annotation of a GenBank genome assembly.
AUGCAACAUGGCCAAGAAAAGAAAGUUACGGUAUGUCACCAAUUUUUUUGUCUUCCUAACUAAACAUGGCAGCAUCACUUAUGGUUUAUAUCUACACAUGAAUCUGCAUGAAUUCUUCUAUCAUUUUAUGAAUUUGGUGGACACCUUAUAGUUAUUUAACACUAUUUUGAUUGCACAGUAACUUACCAAAUUACUUGCACAUUCUUUAAGCACUUUAGUAAAUUUCUAGUUUUUUUUUUUGGUAAUUAUUACUUAUUAGCAGUUUAGUACUUUGUGACUUUUGCCUACGUAAUUAUUCGUGCCAUAACAUAUCAGAUUUUGUCUCACAUCCGCGUGAUGAAAGUCAUGAUGCCUUGGGGCAUGCACUGUUAUGCUGACUGUGCUGGUGGAUGCGCGUUUUAUAUUAGCACCUUCUGACCCUGGUGCGAGUCUUUUUAGGGUUCAAUUAAACACCUGGGAUUUGUAACGAGAAUAUACCCCUACACGCAGGAUCCAGCUAAACAGAGGCAAAUACAGAGGAGAGAUACGUCUACCGGACCUUAGAAUGGCCGGACUCGACGUAUAUGAGAGGAGACAGAGCCAGGAACAAACCGAGGUCAAGGGCACAGAGAGACAGCGUAAACUAGGACAAGCCGGGGUCUGGUACACGGAAAACAGCAAGCCGGCAAACAGUACAGAUAAGGAUAAAGCGAAAACGAAGUCAGAAUACGAAGCCAAAGUCAAUACGAGAAAACACAACUGAACACCACAAGCGCUAAAGGGAACUGAAACAGAAACCACGAUAGGGCAACGAGCUAAGGGAAAAAGGUAAGUUUAAAUAGCUUUUAAACGAAAGUGAUUGGCUCCUGUCACUUCCACACCCCCUAUAGGUAAUUGUAUAGGGAGUGUGGUAUGACAGGAGCCAAUGGGAGCCUUUUGGCAAUUAGGCUCCCACUGUCUCUUUAAGAGCGCGCCCGAGACUCGCGGCGCGCUCUUAGUUUCAGGCGGGACACGUGACCGCUUCACGCGGUCACUGCCUGCCUUCCAUCCAAAGCAGUCGGAUGAGCCACGCGCGGCUCGUGCAGCCGCAGGACCGCGCGCGGCUUGAAGAGAGGAUCGCGACCGGCCCCCGGUUAAGGUAAGUAACGCUACAGGAUUGGAAGAGAGUGCAGUUUUCCCACUGCCUGCCUUCCAUCGAGGAUUGGAAGAGAGUGCAGUUUUCCCACUGCCCGCCUUCCAUCGAGGACCGCGACCGGCCCCCGGUUAAGGUAAGUAACGCUACAGUACCCCCCCCUGAGGACACGCCCCCCGGGCGGGUAGGACCAGGCCUGGCAGGAAAACGAGAAUGGAAAGAGCGCACAAGACGGGGAGCAUGGACAGCAUCAGCCGAAAUCCAACUGUGCUCCUCAGGCCCAUAACCCUUCCAAUGUACCAAGUACUGAAGUCGACCCCUAAGGAAACGAGAGUCAAGAACAGCAGACACUUCAAACUCCUCAUGACCCUCCACCGAGAUAGGAGGGGGAGGAGGAGUAUGCCGGGUAUAGCGGUUGCGUACGAAAGGUUUCAACAAUGAGGUGUGAAAAACAUUAGGAAUACGUAGAUUCUUAGGCAGGCCUAAGGCAUAAGAAACAGGAUUAACCUUAUGUAUAAUACGAUAAGGUCCAAUGAAGCGGGGAGCCAAUUUCAUAGAAGGCACCCGGAGACGAAUAUUCCGCGUGGAAAGCAAAACCCUGUCCCCCACAACAUAGGACGGAGCUGCUCUGCGAUGCUUGUCAGCCUGAGCCUUCUGGCGAGUAGCAGAGUCCACCAAAGAACGCUGAACCUGCUCCCAAGUAUUACGCAAACCAGCCAAAUGCUCAUCCAGAACUGGCAUGCCCUGUGAGGAGAAUGCAGCCGGAAGAACAACGGGAUGCUGGCCAUAGACAACGUAAAAAGGGGUCUUGCCGGAAGAAUCAUGAGUGGCGUUAUUCCGAGCAAAUUCAGCCCAAGGAAGCAGGUCAGACCAAUUGUCCUGAUGGUGAGACACAAAACAACGGAGGUAUUGCUCCAGAGACUGGUUGGCACGUUCAGCAGCCCCAUUAGACUGGGGAUGAUAAGCGGAAGAAAAUGAGAGAGAAAUACCCAUUUCUGAACAAAAGGCCCUCCAGAACCUGGAAAUAAAUUGGCUACCCCUAUCGGAUACAAUAGAUACGGGAAUCCCAUGUAAUCGAAAUACUUCUCUAGCGAAGAUAUGAGCCAGUUCCUUGGAUGUGGGCAACUUGUGAAGAGACACGAAGUGAGCCAUUUUGGAGAACCGAUCCACUAUCAUCAGGAUUACUGUGUUACCAUUUGAAGGGGGUAAUUCAACAAUAAAAUCCAUGGACAGGUUAGACCAAGGUCUCUCGGGAACGGGUAACGGAUGCAACAGCCCACAAGGAACUCUACGGGAGGAUUUCAUACAGGCACAAGUAGUACAAGCACUUAUAUAGUCAGUGACAUCCUUUCGUAAGGAAUCCCACCAAAAAUACCGAGAAACAGCUGACACCGUUUUGGAAAUACCAGGAUGUCCAGCAGUCUUAGUAUCAUGAUAUAAUGACAUAAUAUCCUGUCUCUCAGGAACAUCAACGAACAGUUUAUCAUUAGGCCUCUCGCUAGGUGCCAUGCUUUGUUUCGCUUGUAUGGCCUGCAAGAGGGACGAGGAAAUAGACAAAAUAGUAGUAGCUAUUAUCCUGUCUGGGGAAUGACAGGAGUAACAUCAAUCUCCUGUUUGUCAGUAGUUUCGAACUGUCUGGACAGAGCGUCUGCUUUAGUGUUGCGAUCACCUGGCCUAUAGGUGAUAAUAAAAUUGAAACGGGACAAAAAUAGUGACCACCUAGCCUGCCUGGAAGACAAUCUUUUGGCUUCGCUAAGGUAGGAUAGGUUCUUGUGAUCCGUAAAAAUGAGGAUAGGAUCCUUAGUUCCUUCUAACAAAUGUCUCCACUCUUUAAGUGCUAAAAUAAUAGCAAGGAGUUCGCGAUUACCCACAUCAUAAUUUUUCUCUGCUUUGGACAUUUGUUUAGAAAAGAAGCCGCAUGGAUGCAAUGGCUUUUCAGGCGACUCUCUUUGGGAUAAGACAGCACCUACCCCAAUAUCCGAAGCAUCAACUUCAAGAAUAUAGGGCAGUGAGGGGACAGGAUGCUGUAAAAUAGGUGCAGAGGCGAACGUAGUUUUAAGAAAUUCAAAAGCCUGAAGUGCCUCGGUAGACCAAACACGAGUAUUGCCAUCCUUUUUAGUCAUACGGGUAAUAGGUGCUACAAUGGACGAGAAACCUUUGAUAAAACGUCUAUAAUAAUUGGAGAACCCAAGAAAACGCUGAAUAGCUUUCAGACCUUGCGGUAGAGGCCAUUCUAUUACAGCAGCAAGCUUCUGGGGAUCCAUACGAAAACCUUUAGCGGAAAUCAAAUACCCCAAGAACUGGACUUCGGUUUGGUCAAACAGACAUUUUUCUAGCUUGCAAUAAAGACCAUUAGCAAGAAGGGUCUUCAAAACUGUCGUAACAUGUCUGUGAUGAGUGUGUAUAUCUGUAGAAUAUAUUAAAAUGUCGUCCAAGUAUACGAUAACAAAUGUGUGAAUAAAAUCUCUUAAGACAUCAUUAAUAAAUUCUUGGAAUACUGCUGGGGCAUUGCAAAGCCCAAAUGGCAUAACAGUAUAUUCGUAAUGACCGGAUCUAGUGUUGAAUGCAGUCUUCCAUUCGUGAUUUUCCUUUAUACGUAUCAAAUUGUAUGCACUCCUAAGGUCUAAUUUAGUGAACACAGUGGCAUGUUUCAGCCUGUCAAAUAAUUCUGUAAUUAAAGGUAUAGGGUAUGCAUUUUUGAUAGUGAUUUUGUUUAGACCUCUAUAAUCUAUACACGGUCUUAAAUCACCUUCUUUCUUCGAUACAAAGAAGAACCCUGCUCCAGCUGGAGAAGAGGAUCUCCUAAUAAACCCCUUUUCUAGUGAUUCCUUAAUAUACUCCUCCAUGACACGGUUUUCUUGAACCGAUAAGGGGUACACCCUGCCCUUUGGAGGUAUAGUGCCAGGCAACAAGUCAAUAGCGCAAUCAUAGGGUCUGUGAGGCGGUAAUUUCUCAGCCUCCCUUUUAUCGAAAACAGUCUUUAGAGAUAAAUACUGAGGGGGUAUAACCGUAGACAAAGGAGGACUGGUAGGUACCUCAAUAGAAUUCAAAGGUGUGACUUCCAACGUACAAGACUCGUGGCAGGCCUCACUCCAUGAUUUUAUUUGCCCUGUCUCCCAGUCAAAAAUGGGAUUGUGAGCACGUAACCAUGGAUACCCUAAUACUAACUGUGAAGAGGGAGAGGUGAUGACCUGGAAUCGAAUGGUUUCAUAGUGUAAAACCCCUGUGUACAUGUGUAAUGGUACAGUCUCAUGAGUAACAACUGGAGAACUUAAUGGUCUACCAUCUAUGGCCUCAACGGCCAAGGGUAUCUCCUUCUCUCUGAUGGGAAUGUUGUUUCUCUUUAUAAAGCCAGAGUCUAUAAAAUUUUCAGCUGCCCCAGAGUCAACCAGAGCAUAUAUGUUGUCAACUAUACAAAUCUCUCCCAUAUAUAAAGAAACCGGGAGAAGCAAGCGGUUAGGAGGCAAUUUAGGAGACUUAGAUAUCACACCCAAGGCCAGUCCCCUAUAAGGUCUUAGGUGCGAGAGUUUUCCGGGAGUAAAGGACAUUCCUUUACCAUAUGGUCUCUCCUACCACAGUAUAGGCAGAGUCCCUCCCUUCUCCUAUGUAAUUUCUCAGUAUCAGAGAGUUUGGCAACCCCUAAUUGCAUAGGUUCCUCCUCAGACACUUUAACACUCUCUGGUAUAUUAACUCUGGGGUUAAUGGGUGUAACAAAACAUCUAUUCCUGUUCUUGGUAUAGAGCCUGUCACGAAUUCUAUUAUCUAUAUCAAUGAGGUAAUCGAUAAGGUCCUCUAAGGCAAUAGGAAGCUCCUUAGCUGCUACCUCAUCCAAUAUCGUAUCUGACAAACCUUCCAUAAAGGCAGUAGUUAACCCAUUGUUGGUCCAAUCUACCUGCGAAGCAAGAGUGCGAAACUGAAUAGCAUAAUCAGCCACAGACCUAGAACCCUGUUUAAUUCUCAUUAAUGCUCUCGCGGCAUUCUUUGACCUUUUCAUUGUGUCAAAAGUUCUACGAAAAGCCGUAAGAAAACUGUUGAAAUCAUGUACCAUAGGUCCAUUAGCUUCCCAAAUAGGAUUUGCCCACUCAAGUGCCUUAUCGGUAAGUUGGUGCAUAAAGAACCCAACCUUAGACCUCUCUGUGGGAAAUGAACGUGGAUACAUUUCGAAGUGAAAUUCAAUUUGAUUAAUAAACCCUCUGCAAGUCUUAGAGUCCCCUCCAUACCUAGGAGGAGGUGUUAAAUGGGCCGAAGUAUUAGGCAAAGUAGAUACUUCAGGGAGAAGGGGCGUAGGAGGGUUAGGUGUGGUUGCUGGAACGGUUCUAGCUAGGAGCGUCUGGAGAGCCUGAGCUAUCUGAUCCAUACGGUGAUCCUGCUCUACAAAUCUUGCCUCAUGGGACGCCAUCUGUUGAGCUAAAUCUGCGGGGUCCAUGGCCCUAUCGUAAUGUAACGAGAAUAUACCCCUACACGCAGGAUCCAGCUAAACAGAGGCAAAUACAGAGGAGAGAUACGUCUACCGGACCUUAGAAUGGCCGGACUCGACGUAUAUGAGAGGAGACAGAGCCAGGAACAAACCGAGGUCAAGGGCACAGAGAGACAGCGUAAACUAGGACAAGCCGGGGUCUGGUACACGGAAAACAGCAAGCCGGCAAACAGUACAGAUAAGGAUAAAGCGAAAACGAAGUCAGAAUACGAAGCCAAAGUCAAUACGAGAAAACACAACUGAACACCACAAGCGCUAAAGGGAACUGAAACAGAAACCACGAUAGGGCAACGAGCUAAGGGAAAAAGGUAAGUUUAAAUAGCUUUUAAAUGAAAGUGAUUGGCUCCUGUCACUUCCACACCCCCUAUAGGUAAUUGUAUAGGGAGUGUGGUAUGACAGGAGCCAAUGGGAGCCUUUUGGCAAUUAGGCUCCCACUGUCUCUUUAAGAGCGCGCCCGAGACUCGCGGCGCGCUCUUAGUUUCAGGCGGGACACGUGACCGCUUCACGCGGUCACUGCCCGCCUUCCAUCCAAAGCAGUCGGAUGAGCCAAGCGCGGCUCGUGCAGCCGCAGGACCGCGCGCGGCUUGAAGAGAGGACCGCGACCGGCCCCCGGUUAAGGUAAGUAACGCUACAGGAUUGGAAGAGAGUGCAGUUUUCCCAUUCUGUUUUCAACUAAUAUUAUUCACGACUAGUCACAACAGCUAUCUUGAUGAGUAAUGGCAGGCAAGAAAGGUAGUGGCAAGGUUGAAAAUCAGCCCUUUGCCUUUUUUAUUUUAUCACACAUUUGCAGUUUAAUGGGGUCAUAGUAGGUAUAAAAGAAAUCCGUUUGUAUAGUCUUAGAUUGUGGAAACACUGCAGAAAUUGAAGGACGGAAAAGGAGCUGAGAAGAUCACCAGUCAUGCUCUAUCCAGUAAGGCGAACCAUGAAAGAUUGACUUGAACACAGACUGGGUUAGAGACUGGAGCAGGUUCUGCCAAUGACUGAUUUCAUUGAAAAGCAGAUGGAAUCAUGAAACUCUACAAUCAGUUCUUUAAGGUCGUAGCCCAUCUGUUUCUUGUUUGACAUACAAUAAAAGCUAUGAAUACUGUUCAUUAGUACUUCUUCCUACCCAUCACUAACUCCCCUCUCUUGUGUUAUUUGGUGCAUUUGUAUGGUUCCAUGGAAGAAGUGCAUCUCCUUGUGUGAUCUAGU